UACGUAGGGACCAAGCGUUGUUCGGAUUUACUGGGCGUAAAGGGCGCGUAGGCGGCAUAUUAAGUCAGCUGUGAAAUCUCCGAGCUUAACUCGGAACUGUCAGCUGAUACUGAUGUGCUAGAGUGCAGAAGGGGCAAUCGGAAUUCUUGGUGUAGCGGUGAAAUGCGUAGAUAUCAAGAGGAACACCUGAGGUGAAGACGGGUUGCUGGGCUGACACUGACGCUGAUAGCGCGAAAGCCAGGGGAGCAAACAGG
This 254-nucleotide ribosomal RNA is filed under the name uncultured bacterium. Its description in RNAcentral is "partial 16S ribosomal RNA". It matches the Rfam family "Bacterial small subunit ribosomal RNA", at positions 524 to 776 of the family's 1533-position model. The record is from RNAcentral.